UUCUAUUUAAUUAAUCUAGGUUUAAUAUGUUUACUUAAAUCAGGUUUUUUAGUUUGAUUGUGUAUAUCCUUGUCUUAGCCUACAUGGAAAAGGGAAACUUCUGUUUUGGCCACGAUUCUCAGCAGGGGUAGAGAGGUAACUUGUGCUACCAAAAGUAAAUUAGGGUCCCACUGGGCGUGCCAAUGUUUUGGCCACGAUCCUCAGCAGGGGUAGAGAGGUAACUUGUGCUACCAAAAGUAAAUUAGGGUUUGCAGGGCGUGCCACCGCGCGGACGCGGAACGAGAACGGUGCGCGUUCUUGACUUCUAAUCAGGCGAAGUAGAGCUCCGGUGUCACCUCGCGGGCGAGGAAUUACGAGCAAACUAUCUAGUCACCUGUGAAUCGAUACUCACUGUUUGAAGCGAGCAGAGCAAUAAUUGGGAAAGAGAGGCGAGUCUAGACGGGCUCUGAGAUCUAAGGCGAGGUGCACUUAGAACUUAGGGUUUCGAGGAUGCUCGAAGAUUUGCAGUUGUUUUGUAUGAUUGAUCGUCUGUUUUGUUCGUUGUGUCAAGCUCCCUUAUAUAGCGAUCCGCAAGCAAUUCGCAGAGACCUAAUCACAAAUCCAUUCGGACUCAGCAAUUAGAAUUCCACCAGGAAACGACCAGCUCGCGAGCCGCGCGAUCCAUGCAACACGUGUCCAAAACAGACUUCGCCUAGGUCUCGCUCACCGCCCCGCAUCAUAUCACUGUAGCGUCGUACGCGAACUCGAGCACUAAGCGAUCCUAUCCCGCGGGUACUACAGUCCAUUUCCAACUCUACCUCGCCAUGCACUGUAGAAUCCUACACGAACUAGAAGAAAGGAUCCCGCGAGGACAUCGAAUCCCGCGAGGUAAUUGAAUCCUUGCACAAUUCCAACUCCUUGAAACAGGGGCAGCCCUGCUCGGUCCGACUCCUUCACAACCUCCGUCCGCCGCUGAUCUGAACCACUAUACCGCCUCUGUGCACUGACCAAUCCUUGCCCAACGUCGUGAGCCGGGAAACUUCGCCUCCUGGUUCCACCAAGCCCGCUCUCACACAAAUAUCCGGGUCGGGGAAUGGCCCAGCGUCACCGCGGAGGACCGGGCAUGGUAUGCGGCUCGCCUCCAGACCGAUCAAGCGAUCUGGGAAGCAACCGGCAUCAGCGAAGCCAUUGCCUUGAGCUUCUCACUACCUCCUCACGCUGAUCGAGCACCCAUCGCUGCCGCGGCCUGCUUAUGGAACAGUGCCACCAACACUUUCGAUUUUCCUUUCGGGGAACUGGGCAUUUCUCUGCUGGACAUCCUCGCCAUCAUCGGGCUACCAAUUCAUGCAAAGCCAUAUGCGCCAGGCGACUUUGCAUCGACCGAGUUUACGCACUCCUGCAACCUGGGGGCCCGCCGCGCCCUGAAAGGCUCGUAUGGAGUAUGGAGGAAGUUCUACAUCGGCCAUGCAGAACAACACGAAGGAGGUAUCGCUUUCCUUGAGUAUUGGCUUGAUAAAUUCAUAUUCUGUGGCAGUGCUCACAAGCCUACAGGGAAAUGGAUAAAGCUGGCCGAGGCACUCUACAAUGGGAUCGAAGUAGGGCUAGGGUAGCCCGUGCUGGGCGCGCUCUACCGGACCCUGCACAUGCUGUCCCUAAGACCCUUCCAUCUCUCUGCUGGCCCUCUGUGGAUCCUGGACUUAUGGACACAGCUGUACUUCCCGCUCUUUCGGCGAGCCCCGCUGGAAUUUCUACCCGAGGACCAAGUGCUUGGCUUCGCGGUGUGCAGGAACGCUGCGAACCGGACUCCCCUGUCUUUCUUCGCCAGCCUCUCCAUCUUGUACAACCAACUCGAACCGCCUCCCACCAUAGACAUGAUGGUUCACCGGCGCCAUCCUGAAGUCUUAUCAACGGGCUUCUUCCCUCGCUCUGACUCGGACUCUGACGCCAAGACCGUCUUCAUGAGAGCAUCCUCAUGCUGCGACCUUCAGCUCGCCGAGGAUGAACAAGGCUUCAAGCUGUAUGCCCCCAACCACUUCGCCAGACUUGAAUUCUCUCAAGGGAUCCCCUAUCCACUCUUCCAUUCGGUGAACAAGUACACCUCCUGGAGGAAGAUUGGCGAGUCCGACCGGGUUACCCCGCUGCAGAACAUUUUCCCUCUUACUCCUGACUUGCUGGAGAUUAAGCCUUCGCUGGGUGUUGACCCCGCUUACCUCUCUUGGUGGCGAUCCUUAUCCGACAACCAUUAGGGGUUCCCAGAUGAUGCUGUCUUCGCUGCCAUCUUUUAUCCUCUGUACGACACUCUGGGCGAGUCAGACCGCGUCAUUCUUGAUGCCCAGCGCGACAGUGAAGAGGGCGGUUCAAAGGCUGCGACAGGGUCUAGGCCUGCGCUCCCACCAGUUCCUGCUACUCGUCGCUCGACGGGGAUCGUCAUUCGAGAACGCGAACCUACACCCGAGGUAUGCCACUAACUGUGUAAAUUUCAAACCGCCUUUAUCACUUCGACAAAAUGCUUCUCCUAACUCUCCUGUCUAUCUUUACAGUCUGCCUCCCGCCGGAGAACUAUCAGAAGACCUGAGGGUGCCGGAGACAAAGGGAAAGCGCCUGCUCAAGAGGAGCCCGCGGCGGACCAUGAUGGUGAGACUGCUCCCGUUAUUCCCCGGCCAACAAGCGGCGAAGGCUCGCGGAAGCGCCCUGUCGAGGACGAAGAAGAGCUGCUAGAGGAUGAACGAUAUCGGCAAGAGCACGCUUUGGUAAGCGACUUUUCUUCGAACCAAACUCAUUAAAGCCAAUAAACGAUUUGCUAACUUUGUAUUUAACAGGUUUGCCCCCGCAUCCGACCUCGCCUCACUGUCAUUGAAGGAGCAACAACAAUAGUUGAAGUCCCAAUCCCGGAACAAAUCGUCGGGGAUUAAACCAUGGUUACAGAGGAAAUCGCCAUGCGACCCCCUUCUCCAACCGACGGUCUAGGCGAAACUGGCCCGCCUUCAGAGCCUACCUCGGCUCCUGCUCAAGAUGAAGAUCUCGGCCAGACCACCCGACUUUCUGAUUUUGCUUCCCCCUCGGCGGUUCCGCCAAAGGACCUUCAACCGGUGCUUGAGCCCUCUCCUUUGCAACCAGACUCAGCGGCCCAGACCACCGAAGAACCGACAGUCCCUAUUCGGUUUGAGGCCCCACCGCCCGUUCCAGAGAUUGAGGCGGUUGCAGAGGUUGAACCAACCACUCCGGCCCCAACGAGAACAUCCGGGGAGGCGGCUUCUUCUUUGGCUACCCGAAUCGCUCGUCUUCGGGCCCGGACUACCCCGCCUGUCGAUCCAGAGCCCAUUCUCCUGGCCCGGGCUUUCUUUCACGGGUUACUGCGCCAAGGUCCCCACAUGAACGUAUUCGACUUGGUGAGGCGCACCCGCGAGGCCCAUGAAGCUCUGAUUCGGCACCUCGCUGGCAGCAACCCUGCUCUAGACCAUGUGUUCGAACUUACUGACGCUGUCGAGCUGCAGGCUCGCCGAGUUCAAGAUGUCGGUGCCCAGUCGGCUGCUCACGAGAAAGUCCACCAAGCCUUAGACGAUCAGAUGGCAGCCCUUUUAGCCGAGCUUGAAGACGCUGAAAUCCCUGAGGCGUCUUUAGAGAACCCAUGCACUGUCUAUGCUCGGCAGGUGGAGGCCCUGGAGGCUCAGAUAGCGGAGCUGCAAGCUCAGCUUGCUCAAGCUCGCCAGAACUUGGCCCGAGCUGAUGAAGCAGAAACCCGCGUGCAGGCCGCGGAAGAGACCCAGGAAGCUUUGGACUCGGCUAUUGCUGCUGCCGAGAAGCCCAAGCCCAGGCGGAUGUUGNNNNNNNNNNNNNNNNNNNNGGCAGAGUGGCUCUGAUACCAUUUGUCACAUCCCGGGACCCGCUCCGCCGUAACACGAUAUUGUCCGCUUUGGGCCCACCGGCCCUCACGGUUUUGUUUCCGGCAGCUCAGGAGCAACUUCCCAGUAGGUCACCCAUCCUGGGAUUGCUCUCGCAUCGACAUGCUUAACCUCGGAGUACCCAUCCCCUCCGAAGCCGCUGAGCCACCAAAAGGCCUCGUAUUAGAUUGGUGGUGGGCAUGUACAUAUACAGCACAUAACCCCUCUCCGUUUGGCCGAUGUGGGAUAUUACAUACUGUGCCAAGGUCCCCACAUGAACGUAUUCGACUUGGUGAGGCGCGCCCGCGAGGCCCAUGAAGCUCUGAUUCGGCACCUCUCUGGGAACAACCCUGCUCUAGACCAUGUGUUGGAACUCACCGACGCUGUCGAGCUGCAGGCUCGCCGAGUUCAAGAUGUCGGUGCCCAGUCGGCUGCUCACGAGAAAGUCCGCCAAGCCUUAGACGAUCAGAUGGUAGCCCUUUUAGCCGAGCUUGAAGACGCUGAAAUCCCUGAGGCGUCUUUAGAGAACCCAUGCACUGUCUAUGCUCGGCAGGUGGAGGCCCUGGAGGCUCAGAUAGCGGAGCUGCAAGCUCAGCUUGCUCAAGCUCGCCAGAACUUGGCCCGAGCUGAUGAAGCAGAAACCCGCGUGCAGGCCGCGGAAGAGACCCAGGAAGCUUUGGACUCGGCUAUUGCUGCUGCCGACGAAGCCCAAGCCCAGGCGGAUGUUGAAGAGUUGGCCUUAGAAGGCCUUCUCAUAGAUUUGUAUAGGGCUUCUAGGCGGGUUUAGGUCUGACCAGCGCUUUGCCCCCUUUGUAUGAACCUUUAAUAUUAUUAUUGAAUCAAAUUCUUCCCGUUCUUGUCAAUUCUUGUGUAAGAACCGCCUUCCCAGGAAAAAAUCUUCAUCCAAGAUUUGGUGGGGGUUUCCAAUGCAACUACUCGCUUGGAACGCGGGCAGUCAUUAUGGAACAACGCGUCCGACCUUAUCUCCAAAGCUCAUAUCUCGGAGCAAAUCGCUGCAUGGAGGACAUCUGUUGAAAGGAAAAUCACCCUUUUCGCCUAUAAAAAGAAACGCUUGGCCGGGGCGAAGAACCAGUUAAGUCUUUGCCCCUUGCCAUGGGCUCUUAUACCCUUCUGUACAUCCUCUUGUCCCUGCUUAAAGCAAAGCCCCCACCUCACAUUUUCAUUAUUCGUUCUUGCUGAUUCUGAAAAUCUACUCUCANNNNNNNNNNNNNNNNNNNNNNNNNNNNNNNNNNNNNNNNNNNNNNNNNNNNNNNNNNNNNNNNNNNNNNNNNNNNNNNNNNNNNNNNNNNNNNNNNNNNNNNNNNNNNNNNNNNNNNNNNNNNNNNNNNNNNNNNNNNNNNNNNNNNNNNNNNNNNNNNNNNNNNNNNNNNNNNNNNNNNNNNNNNNNNNNNNNNNNNNNNNNNNNNNNNNNNNNNNNNNNNNNNNNNNNNNNNNNNNNNNNNNNNNNNNNNNNNNNNNNNNNNNNNNNNNNGUCUUCUACCCCGGAUUGCCCCCUAGUGUUAGGCGGCGGAGCGAGAACGCGAUAGCGCGUAGCACUAUUGACUGUGGUGACGGGGUCGGGGGAAGGUGGAGGAUCCUCGCGUUCCCAAACUCCUGCAAUGUGGCGCUUGAGGAAGCGGCCAUUAAUAGGAUUGCGAUGAAUGGUACCGUCCAAGUCGCGCAGGUGGUAUGCCCCCUUGGGGAGUAUGCGAUGAAUAAUAAAGAGGCCUUCCCAUCGAGCGGACCACUUACCCCGACCGUUGGUUUUUUCCCCAAGUGGGAGAACCGCACGCCACACUUUCUGGCCCUCAGCAUAGCUCCGUCCGCGCGUGACCUUAUCAGACGAACGUGCGAUGCGUUGUUUCUCGAGGACGAGAUGUUGAAAGCGGUGACGCGGUGCUCGUCAAGAUCUUCAAGUUCCUGCCACAUAGCUUGGACAUAAUCCUCGCCAAGUAGUUGAUGCUGUUCCUAAACGCGGAGUGAAGCGAUAUUGAUCUCAAGGGGAAGGACGGCAUCGUGACCGUACAUGAGAGCAUACGGGGUGGUAUCCGUCGGGCCGCGCUUUGAAGUGCGGUAAGCCCACAAGGUGUGGUAGAGUUCCUCAUGCCAGACACGCGGGUUUAACUCCAACAUCUUGCGGAGGAUGCCAAGCGGAAGGCGGUCUUGUGUCGAUCUUCCUCGACGACGGGAAUCUGAUGGUAGCCGGCCGUUCCAUCCAUAAAGGAUAACACCUCGUGCCCCGCGGCGGCAUCAAUGAGUAGGUCAGCCACAGGCAUGGGGUAUAUAUCCUUCGGUGUUGCGUUGUCUAGGUCGCGGUAAUCAACACAGACGCACAUCUUGCCAUUUUUCUUGCGGAUGGGGACAACAUUGGACAGCCACUCGCUAUACUUUGCCACGCGAAUGAUGUCCGAUCGGUGCAUGCUUUCGAUCUCUUCCUUGACUACGAUCUGAGUCUCAGUUCGCAUGAAUCGGCCGUCCUGCCGUACCGGACGUCGGUCGGGAUAAGUUGGUAACCGAUGGCAGACCAAGUCCGGGGACAAGCCGGGCAUGUCUUUGUAUUUGUCGGCGAAGCAAUCCCUGUACUCGCAUAACAGGGAAAGAAGGGUUUCCUUUUCGUCCUCCGCCAACUUAGCACUGAUAGAAAUAAGUAAGGGCUUUUCUGCAGUCCCUACGUCAACUUGUGAAAUGGGGUCGCAGACUUGAGGUGGUGUGUCGUCCAAGGCGGCGGGAGCUAAGUGAAUAACUUCCUCCUUGGUAUCGGAAUAAUCCACCACUUCAUCUACAUAUUCCAUAGUCGCGACCUUGUCGUAGGCUUCGCGUUCUGCCCAGUACGAAAGGAGUCUUUCGCACAAGGACUAGCCAGCCUCGCGUGUCUCCUCUGAGAAGGCACUAUUCAUCAGAACGGGGUGUGGGAUUCGCGAUGGUGUGAGGACGUUGCAAGUCGUCCUUUGCCUGGGUAAGUCCCCAUUGCGUUAAAUUGGAGGCCGUGGUUCCAUAUGGGCGGCCCUUGUUAUCGACGCCUUGAACAUCCAACGGACCCAAGUCUGUAGUAUAAUAUCGGGCAUCGUUGAAGUUGGCAGAGAUAGAGAAUGGCCGCGGGUCGGCUUUGAUGAUGACUGCUUCUCGGUUCUCGGCGUCCCAAAUCAUGAGUUCUUGGUGCAUGCAGGAAGGCACGCAAAAACUUUUGUGGAUCCAAUCUCGGCCAAGAAUGAUGCUGUAAGAGGAAGCGCAUUCGGCGACGAAAAAGGUGUAAACCCGUGAUGCCGGCCCGACCUUGACCCGUAGGAAUAGCAAACCUAGGGUUCUGGACACUUGCCCGGUGACGUUCUUGACUGUUAAGGACGUGGUUUGGAUCAUCGAGCGCGGGAUGUGUAGGAGUCCCAUGGUACGGGUUGUGACAACAUUGACCGGGGCACCGGUGUCGACCAUGACCUUGUUGAUCAUUUUUCCUUCGACUUCGGCCGUGAUAUACAGUGGCCGCAUGUGAGUGGCCAUGUCCAAAGUUGGUGUGGAGAAGGUUAGAGUUUGCUUAUGUUUGAUGCUGCUCGUAAUUUCCACCUGUGGGGCGUCGUCGGGCUGUGCCGGAACUGGGCCCAUUUCGCUGCUGCAUGGCGGGGGUAUGCUACUGACAUCCUCGCUGCUGACGGGAAUAUCCGCCGCACUGCAGGUUGUGUUUGGUGGGAGAGCGUAUCUUUCCGAAAUGAAGAACACCAUCCCGACUUGAAAGGAGAAUUGUUCAGGAAUUGGGACCAGGGGAGUGUCAAUGAUCCCGUGUUCCCCUUCGAGCAACGCGAAAGCGUCUGCUUCGCGGCUAAACCCUUCAUCAGCACCCCAUCCUGAAACCUCUACCAUAUUACAGGUGAAUGAUUCUUCCUACUCUUCGUCCCGGUCUUCCUCUAGGUUAAGGCGAGGUUCUGAAUGUGCCUCGUCGUCUUCUGAAUUCUCGCGGAAACGCUGGGCCAUUUGUUGGGCGAGGUUAGGACUAGAAGGCGCCUGUGCGGCUAUUGGUGGCUCUUGAGUCUCGGGUUGCCGCGGACGCCAUACUGACUUGGUUGAAGGCUGAUGGUCCUUGGCUGGUUGUUUGUCUGUUGCCAGAGGAGCCUUAUCGUUGUCUUCUUUUUUCAACCGUUGUAGGGCGGAUACUCGGGGAACCAUCCGAGUCUCGGGCUCUGGGGUAGAUCGUGCCCGGGGCUGGUGUGGUGGUGGUGGCUCCCUUUUGAUAUUGGCCUCCGGAUUUUGACUUUCCCUUUGCCGUGAGGGCUGAGACGGUUCGCGUUUGGACUCUGGGUCCGGGGUUGUGAACAGCUUACGCCUGGGACCGGUAGGCGGAGUCUUUCUCCGCUCGGGCUCUGGUGGCGGCCUGUGCUUGGAAGGCUGUUGAUCCCUCCUCUUUUCAGGCUCUGGUGACGGCUUGGGUCUAGCAGGCUGUGGAUCCCUUCUUCUUUCAGGUUCUGGUGAUGGCCUGCGCCGGGAAGGCUGUGGAUCCCUUCUUCUUUCAGGUUCUGGUGAUGGCCUGCGCCUGGAAGGCUGUGGAUCCUGCUUUGGUGGAACCGCGAGUCGGCAAAAGACAUUUGCUUUGGGUGCAGGCUCGUCGCUGAACUGCUCGCAAAUCCUUGGGGGUGUGACAGGCGGCAUUUGAAGGAAUGCGCGCAUACCCUCUGCUUCCCUCCACAUCCGCUCAGGCGUCUGUGCGAGCUGUGAGGGGCGUACAGCACCCUCUUAGACAGCCCGUAAGGCACGUUUGAUACUACCGUAUCGCUUUUGGAGCUUUCGCUUCUUAGACCUGCUGAUGGUGACUGCCUUGCCCCCUUGCUGUGUAUACCAGACCCCGUCCUUGAUCGCUGAUUUGGAUGUCGGGGCAAUAUAGGGGUCGGUUAGGACGCCUUUACGAGGGCUCGCGGCCUCGUUGCUGUGACGUUCACCGCUGGAGUCUGACAUGUCCAUCUCACUUGUGGCAGGGGAUGAAGGUACCGCCUCUGCCCAAUGUGUAUAGACGAACGUCUCGAGACGUUCUAUCCUCCUUUCCAGCUCUUCUCAAGUCUUGGGACUCAUAGGCUGGGAGUCUUCAACGGGGGACGGUCCAUCGUCCCUCAUGACUGCUUUGCCCUUAUCCUUGCGGGAGGGGCGGUCUGUGUCGAGCUUAGCGACCAACUAUCGAGCUGGGUCGUCUGCUUUCCCCUGCUGGUUAUUUAGGACAGUAUAGUUAUUCGCCGGCCGUUUGCGAUUACGGCCCGGCGGUUCACGUAAACCUGCAUUUGGCGACAAGUCUAAUGUGAUUCUUCGCUGGCCGACUCGAGGCCAAGCGAAGUCAGCCGUUGCGAUCAUGAAGUCGCCCUUAUUCUCAAAGCAAAUAUACCCGAGGUCGAGCCAGUCUUGAACCUGGUCUCUAAGCUGCUGGCAUUCGCUGGUUCUGUGCCCGCAGCUAUUAUGAAACUUGCAGUGAAUGCGCCCCUCCUUAUAUUCUAUGUAAGGCAAGGAAUUGGCCACUGUGACGAGCCCAUCGUCGAUGAGAUCGUCUAAAACCUCAUGUGCAAGUUCUUCGUUGUAGGUGUAUUGGCGACGUGGCCUGCGGGCACUGUCGUCACCUUCCUCGCGGCCCCUUUUAGGUGCCCGGCGUCGAUCGUCGUCCUUGGUCUGAUUGGCCCAGUUUACCUCGACCAUGCUAACUACAGGCGGGAAAGGGUCUAUAUCAACCAAUGAGGCCGUACUACCCGGUGUUUUCAUCUUUAGCUUGCCUGAGUUCAGCCAUGUCUGCAGCUGGUCUCGAAGCUUGACACAAUCUUUGGUGUCAUGAUUGUAAACAUUGUGGAAGGAGCAGUAUUUCUUGUCCUUUAGCUCCUCCUUGGGCGGUAUCUUGUGAUCCAAACGCACGUAUCUUGCCUCGAUGAGGUCAUUAAAGACCAGAUGGGUUUUCUUAGCAUCAUAGGUGUAUGACUCGUACUCUGGCUUGGUCCAUGCAAAGGACUGGAUGAUGAUUGGCUCGCGCGCUAUCUUCAGGUUUUUCAAUUUGUGAGUCAAUGGCUUGUCAGUCAGUUCUACCGCGCCAAUAUCUUCAUGAUCCUGAUCCGGGCGAGUUCCCUCAGACCUUUGAUAAUAGGAGUCAUAAGUAGGGGCUGCAGGCUUGAUGUCCCCACUGUCCGAUUCUUCCCUGUUAUGUAAGUUCCUUUGGAGGCAUUUGCUUUGUCAUCCAGCUCGUUCAAGAUUAGCUCAUAGCUACCGACCUUGUUAAUCAGGUCGCCCAUGGAAGUAAAGCGUUCUCCAUGAUGCUUCAAUCGCUGGCGGUGCUCCAGACCUCUAAUAGCCAACUUAAUGUCUUCCUGCUCAGGUAGCAGGUUAUCACACUUGGCUUGAUGGAUCUUGAAGCGUUGGAGGAAAGAAACUCCGGACUCCAUGCUCUGCUGGCUCAUCUGUGUGAGGGAGUCGAGGCCAACUUCAGGCUCAAUCGUGCCGUACGUUUCUCGGAAAAGUCUUUCCAUAGUGGGCCAAUCUGCUAUUGACCCAGGCUUCAAUCUGGAGUACCAGGUGAAAGCAGCCCCGGACAGAGAAGUCCCGAAGAGUUUGAGUUUGAGCAUAUCAUCAUUCUCGUAUUGGCCGCAUUGGACCUUAAAACGGGUCAUGUGUGUUGCUGCAUCUUCCCUUGUCUCUCCGGAGAAAGUGGUGAAGACAAUAUUCUUAAAUCCAUGAGGGAAGGGAUAUUGUGCCAUGCUAUCAGGAUAGGGAUCCCGAUAAUGUAAGUUAGCAUCACCUUUUCCGGUUUGCUCCUUGACUAUGCUCGAGAUGAGCUGGCGCCAAUCGGCUACCGUUACUGGUGUGGAUUCUGCCCCCUGAUCGUGGCCGUGCCAUGUAGAGAGGCUAGGGGCCUGCACGAUGUUCUUAGGGGUCGAACUGGAAUAAGCUAUAACUGGGUCAUCUGGUGUCCCGAUCCCUUGAGAUGGGAAGCCACCAGUGCCCCUGAGUGUGACUCCCGGGCCGCCCGGCGAGGGUAGACGGGGUGGCGUCUUUGACGAACUGGCCCCCAAUGUGAAUUGGGGAGUCUUCUGGGCCCCGACCCUUGGAUUUCCUCUAGGGCGUUCAUUAGGUGGAAUAUACCUUGAGCCCUCAGUUGCACUUGAACUAAUUAAGUUCAUAGCAUGAUUCUUUGGUGCCUGAGACCGCAUCCAGUCUUCCACUUGCAGGACCCUUAAGCUCAAGUUAUCAUGCUGCUCCUUGUAGCCCUCAAGCUUCUCCAUGCUAUUCUUACUUCCAAAGAAAGAAGCGUCCUGCUGUUGUUGUAGCUUGGUGUCGUGUUCGUCCAAGCGACGGGUUUGCACAUCCAGGGUUUUUGUGAAAGCCGCCUUGCUCUGAUCCAAAUCUUUCUGGAUCCUUUGAAGGGAGCCGUCCACCAAGUCCUUAUCUUCCCUGACUUUACCCGCAACGUAGUUAAACUCCUCGCUGAGCCUAGAAAGGUUUUCUUGGUUAGCGAGCCAGAUAGGUCUCUCUUUAGUGACCUGUUCAGAGAGGUCUUGGACGCUUUGCUGGGUGGUGUCGACUUUCAAGCUGAGCGAGUCAAUGUUUUGCUGGGUGGUAUCGACCUUCGAGCCGAGCUCCCUCUUGAGCGAGUCGAGAUCAUUCUUCAGUUCCCCAAACAUCUGGCGGACUUCAUCCGUGGGCAGAGUAAGUCCUGCGUCUUGGGUUGGUCGUGAACCUGUCAUUGUGGUUUCGCUGUGGUCGGGGUUGCCAAACCGAGCGAGAACCUCUUCUUGGGUGAGAGAUCGGCAAGCCGCGCUGUUACGGGGCUUGUAUUGUGGAGAUUUAUGUUUCAAACAAGAAAUCGAGGGUCUCCCGUAUGGGGAUCCGCCUGAUUUCCCAAUGGUGGCGAGAAUGUUAUACUCCCGGUCCCACUGGGCGUGCCAAUGUUUUGGCCACGAUCCUCAGCAGGGGUAGAGAGGUAACUUGUGCUACCAAAAGUAAAUUAGGGUCCCACUGGGCGUGCCAAUGUUUUGGCCACGAUCUUGAGCAGGGGUAGAGAGGUAACUUGUGCUACCAAAAGUAAAUUAGGGUUUGCAGGGCGUGACACCGCGCGGACGCGGAACGAGAACGGUGCGCGUUCUUGACUUCUAAUCAGGCGAAGUAGAGCUCCGGUGUCACCUCGCGGGCGAGGAAUUACGAGCAAACUAUCUAGUCACCUGUGAAUCGAUACUCACUGUUGUAAGCGAGCAGAGCGAAUAAUUGUAAGAGAGGCGAGUCGUAGACGGGCGUCUGAGAGUCUAAGACGAGGUGGUCACUUAGAACUUAGGGUUUCGAGGAUGCUCGAAGAUUUGCAGUUGUUUUGUAU
RNAcentral lists this long non-coding RNA (12174 nucleotides) under Fragaria vesca (wild strawberry). Its description in RNAcentral is "long non-coding RNA (FVES_LNC002533)". Lineage: Eukaryota; Viridiplantae; Streptophyta; Magnoliopsida; Rosales; Rosaceae. The record is from RNAcentral.